Molecule: transfer RNA, 68 nt
Filed under: Zunongwangia profunda
Lineage: Bacteria; Pseudomonadati; Bacteroidota; Flavobacteriia; Flavobacteriales; Flavobacteriaceae
Rfam family: tRNA
About the family: Transfer RNA (tRNA) molecules are approximately 80 nucleotides in length.
Source: RNAcentral
GGAUGUAGCUCAGUUGGUUAGAGCGCUGGAUUGUGGUUCCAGAGGUCGCCGGUUCGAACCCGGUCUUC